This 253-nucleotide ribosomal RNA is filed under the name uncultured bacterium. RNAcentral describes it as "partial 16S ribosomal RNA". It matches the Rfam family "Bacterial small subunit ribosomal RNA", at positions 524 to 776 of the family's 1533-position model. The record is from RNAcentral.
UACGUAGGGUGCAGGCGUUAAUCGGAAUUACUGGGCGUAAAGCGUGCGCAGGCGGUCUCUUAAGACAGGUGUGAAAUCCCCGGGCUUAACCUGGGAACUGCAUUUGUGACUGCAUGGCUGGAGUGCGGCAGAGGGGGAUGGAAUUCCUGGUGUAGCGGUGAAAUGCGCAGAUAUCAGGAAGAACACCAAUGGCGAAGGCAGCUCUCUGGGACGGUACUGACGCUGAGACGCGAAAGCGUGGGGAGCGAACAGG